UGCCGCGAAGUACUGAUGGGUUUUGUG
This 27-nucleotide small RNA is filed under the name Bombyx mori (domestic silkworm). Its description in RNAcentral is "ovarian small RNA-33780". The record is from RNAcentral. Lineage: Eukaryota; Metazoa; Arthropoda; Insecta; Lepidoptera; Bombycidae.